This 429-nucleotide ribosomal RNA is filed under the name uncultured bacterium. Its description in RNAcentral is "bacterial SSU rRNA". It matches the Rfam family "Bacterial small subunit ribosomal RNA", at positions 355 to 796 of the family's 1533-position model. The record is from RNAcentral.
UGGGGAAUAUUGCGCAAUGGGCGAAAGCCUGACGCAGCAACGCCGCGUGGGGGAUGAAUGCCUUCGGGUUGUAAACCCCUUUCAGCAGGGACGAAGCGAAAGUGACGGUACCUGCAGAAGAAGCGCCGGCUAACUACGUGCCAGCAGCCGCGGUAAUACGUAGGGCGCAAGCGUUGUCCGGAAUUAUUGGGCGUAAAGAGCUCGUAGGUGGUUUGUUACGUCUGCUGUGAAAACCUAGGGCUUAACCCUGGGCCUGCAGUGGAUACGGGCAGACUAGAGGUAGGUAGGGGAGAAUGGAAUUCCCGGUGUAGCGGUGAAAUGCGCAGAUAUCGGGAGGAACACCGGUGGCGAAGGCGGUUCUCUGGGCCUUACCUGACACUGAGGAGCGAAAGCGUGGGGAGCGAACAGGAUUAGAUACCCCCGUAGUCC